GAAGCGGACGGGCCGCGGCGUCGAAGCGACAGGGACGGACCGGGAGGCGCCGCCGUUCUACCGCCCCGCGCACCCGCCCAGCCGACAUGAGUGACCAGCAGCUGGAUUGUGCCUUGGAUUUGAUGAGGCGUCUGCCUCCGCAGCAGAUAGAGAAGAAUCUCAGUGACCUCAUUGACUUGGUCCCAAGCCUGUGUGAAGAUCUCCUCUCCUCUGUGGAUCAGCCCUUGAAGAUUGCACGAGACAAGGUGGUAGGGAAAGAUUAUCUAUUGUGUGACUACAACAGAGAUGGGGACUCGUACAGGUCACCAUGGAGCAACAAGUACGACCCUCCCCUGGAGGACGGUGCCAUGCCCUCGGCUCGCCUGCGCAAGCUGGAGGUGGAAGCCAACAAUGCCUUUGACCAGUACAGAGACUUGUAUUUUGAAGGUGGAGUAUCCUCUGUCUACCUCUGGGAUCUGGAUCAUGGCUUUGCCGGGGUGAUCCUCAUUAAGAAAGCUGGAGAUGGAUCAAAGAAGAUUAAGGGAUGCUGGGAUUCCAUCCACGUGGUGGAGGUUCAGGAGAAGUCCAGUGGCCGCACUGCCCAUUACAAGCUGACCUCCACAGUGAUGCUGUGGCUGCAGACCAAUAAAACUGGCUCUGGUACCAUGAACCUGGGGGGGAGCCUCACCAGACAGAUGGAGAAGGAUGAGACUGUGAGUGACUCCUCUCCACACAUAGCCAAUAUCGGCCGCUUGGUAGAGGACAUGGAAAACAAAAUCAGAAGUACACUGAACGAGAUUUAUUUUGGAAAAACAAAGGACAUCGUUAAUGGGCUGAGAUCUAUCGAUGCUAUUCCUGACAACCAAAAGUAUAAGCAGUUGCAGAGGGAACUUUCUCAAGUGUUGACCCAGCGCCAGAUCUACAUCCAGCCUGAUAACUAAACCAAUCCAGGUACCCUCGCUGCCUGUGAGGUGUGAGCCAGCACUAAACCAGGACUCACCAGCCCAGCCCCUGCAUGGUACCGGGAAGAACUAACCCCUAAUCCCGCAGGGAGCAGCAGCGGCGCAGCCCAGCCACCCCCGGGUUCUGUCUCAGUGCAGCCACUAAAUGCUGUGGUUCUUGUCUGAAAUGUUACCUCCUCCCCUGUGGAAUCCUCACACUGGGAGCUGGGGCAGGAUUUGCCACUUUGCACUCUGGCUUAGGAGCAGGAAAGGAGCACGUGGUCCUGUGCCUGGAGUGGUGUGGGAUUGGGCCGAUUCUAUCCAGAAACCCUGGGACUCUGUCCCUUGGGCACCAGCACUUCUUUACACCUGUGAUACACAACUACCAGGAAGAAAUUCCCUGUAAUCCCAGUGUCCUCCCUGCAGAAUGAAAUCUUGGGAGUCUCACAGUUUCGGAAAAAAAAAAAAAAAGCCUGAUACUUCCCAUGAAUUCAGAGUAAACGUGCUCUCCCACACGCCCAUCCCCAUGAGCCUGGUGGAUUUUGAAUUUCCUUGGAGCUUGAAACGCAGUCCUGCUCAAGCUCACUCAGACACUGCCAGCCUCCACUUGCUUGUGCUCUGCACAGCCUCCAGAGGGAUUUGUUGCUGUGCUCAUUUGCUCUGGAGCUCUGAGUGUCAGGGGUGCACUAACCCUGAGCCAGCCUAACCUUCCACUCCACUUCCUAACAAGUUACAGAUGUUGUUUCAAAUACAUUCAGCUGAUCAAGGGGGAAACUCACUAUUUGUUGAUAGUGGCCAAGAACCACUUCUUCAGCCUAUGACAAAUGCAAAUAUAAAUGUAUAUGUUUUUGUUAAAGCAGCAGAAGUCUCCAUAGACAAGAGAAUGGAAAUACUGUUAUAAAAAUGGUAGGAAAAUCACCACCACAAAGAGCAGCCUUGCUUACAGGAGACAGCAAGAGAAAAUGAGGUUGCUCUGAAUCACAGACUCCCAGACUGGUUUGGGUUGGAAGGGCCCUUAAAGCUUGUCCACUUCCAACCCCCUGCCAUGGGCAGGGAAAUUUUCCAUCCUCCCAGGUGCUGUAAAAGCUGUGAAAUGUGAUUUAGGUGGGGAGGAAUCCUACCCAAUUGGAUCCUACCACUUCUCUGUGGUAGCCACUCUGGAAAAGUUUCUGGAUAGAACCCAUUCUAUUAGUUUAUUUAAGAGGGGCCUUUUUAAAAGUGGAAAUUUCUUAUUGUCUCACUGAAAUCAAAGGUUCCUCCACAGGCAUCUCCCAGGGCACUAAUCCCAGGUGAUUGGUGGAAAGUGGAGCUUUCCCUCUGUACUUUCAGGCAAAGGGAAGCCCUGCAAUAACCUUGUGACAGUAUCUCUGUUCUUCUUCAGCUGCUUUGAUCACUCACUCCUUAGGGAAGGUGCAAAAAAAGGCAAAUUUGAGAGCAGAACCUCUGGCUGCUUUUCCCACUGGUGCAAAGGCUGGUGGGAGGUUCCAGGUGAACACUCCUGCAGAAGGGUCAGAGCUGCCCAGCUCGGGACGGGGCUGGAUUUUCUCUGCACUUCGGGGGAGCAGGAGCUCUAACCCCCUUGGCUGUGGGACGCUGGGCUUCUUCCUGGCUGGAACACAAAGUUGGGAAUCUCCCUCCGGCAGGCGGGGCCUGAGCGGAGCUGCUGGGGAAGCCUUUGGUGCCAGUCCUUGCCAGAGUCUGUGCAGACUUUUGCAGACAAAUCAAAACAAGAAGCUCUUAAAAACGACCUGGUGGAGGCUUUGAAGAGAAAGCAGCAAAGU
Cinclus cinclus is the source of this 2701-nucleotide RNA transcript. It is a transcript of the gene named capping actin protein of muscle Z-line subunit beta, with no coding region annotated. NCBI's taxonomy places the organism in Eukaryota, Metazoa, Chordata, Aves, Passeriformes, Cinclidae. The transcript is spliced from 10 exons. The record is from RefSeq and is a predicted model, not a curated record.